CCUUCACCCCCCACCCCAUCCGCCGCCUCAUAGGACCGUCUGGGGCCGAGGGCCCAGAAAGCUGGGGCUCCAGCCUCCUUGUCUGUACAUGUGUUGUGGGGGACUGGGUGCCCUUCAGCGUGGCUGCCCUCGGACACAGGAGAGGGUCCGGAGGCCAUCAGGGUCGGGGCGCCAUCCGGGCCCCGGAGGGCACUGCGCCCAGCUGGCAGAGGGGCCCGGGGUGGGGGCUCAGAGGAGGGCAGAGAAGGCAGCGGGCAGACCACAGGCCGAGAUGGACCCAGGCUGGGAGCAUAGUGGGAGCAGAAGCAUGGGGCUGCCAUGUGGGAGCCACACGGGAGCAAAUGUCCAAGAACUCUGAGGCUGGGGUGACCGGUCCAGCUGGCCAAGACAAGCCGUCCCUGCUGGGGCUGCCGGGGGGUGUUAGCGUCCCGCGGGGGACACAGCGAGACCAGGAACAGAGCCCAGAUCCAGGACGCACGUCCUGACCACGUAGGGCCAGUGUCUCCCAGGGUCCCCCCCGGCCCCCUGCCCACAACCAGGGAGCUGUGCAGGGUCUGGGGAGGGGACAGCUGUUUGCAGCUCCACAUUCCAGACUCAGGGUCAAGCAUUUGGGGGAGGCUGUUUUUCUUAAAAAAUGUCAUUUGAAAAUAAACACUGUCGCCGGCGCUUUUCUGCUGGCCCUGGAUCCCCAGGGAGCAGCGGGCAGGCAGCGCCUGGGAGUCCAGGUGGCCGGGGGGCUUCCAGCCAGAGCGGCCUCUGACCUCCCUGAGCGGGACGCACCGCAGCCACGGGGCCGGAGACUCUGGAGGCUGGGUAGCCCUGUUGCCACCCCAGGUAGGGGAAAACUGCACCCUGGCCAGCUAGCGGGCCCGGGAGGUGGCCUUCCUCCCGCAGGUGGCCUUCCUCCCGCAGGUGGCCCUGUCCCCAGGGCAGUACCAGUUCCAGCUGGGCCUCAUCCCCCGUGGAUGUCUGGGGCUGUCUAGGGGCUCCCGGCCUGACCUCUCCCUGGUAUUGUUCCUACAUGCCUGGGGCUCUGGGGGGCCAAGGCCCCUCCUCCUUCCACCUCUGCUCUUUGCUUUGCAGGGAAGGGGACGAGGGGCCCCACCCUCCCUGGCCCAGGCUGGGGGCCCUGGAACUGGUUGGCUUUGGGGCAUCCUAGGGCCUCGUGUAGCCUCAGGCCCUGGCAGCCCCCUACAGCCUCUGCUGAGUCAACAGGGCCCUUUCUCCUCUUGGAACAAAGCCCAGCUGCACCCUUCCCAGGGGUCCCCUGCGCCUGGGCCUCCCAUGGCCACUGUGGGGCCACCUGCCCAUGGACCCCUGCUCCCAGGCAGCUGCAGAACCUGAGGCUUCUAGCUCCCACAGGGCCCUG
RNAcentral lists this long non-coding RNA (1369 nucleotides) under Ailuropoda melanoleuca (giant panda). RNAcentral describes it as "lncRNA (ENSAMEG00000028868.1)". The record is from RNAcentral. Lineage: Eukaryota; Metazoa; Chordata; Mammalia; Carnivora; Ursidae.